RNAcentral lists this non-coding RNA (29 nucleotides) under Homo sapiens (human). The record is from RNAcentral. Lineage: Eukaryota; Metazoa; Chordata; Mammalia; Primates; Hominidae.
UAGAUGGUGACUCUCCCCCAAGUCUUGGU